AUUGAACGCUGGCGGCAGGCCUAACACAUGCAAGUCGAACGGUAACAGGAAGAAGCUUGCUUCUUUGCUGACGCGUGGCGGACGGGUGAGUAAUGUCUGGGAAACUGCCUGAUGGAGGGGGAUAACUACUGGAAACGGUAGCUAAUACCGCAUAACGUCCCAAGACCAAAGAGGAGGACCUUCGGGCCUCUUGCCAUCGGAUAUGCCCAGAUGGGAUUAGCUAGUGGGUGGGGUAACGGCUCACCCAGGCGACGAUCCCUAGCUGGUCUGAGAGGAUGACCAGCCACACUGGAACUGAGACACGGUCCAGACUCCUACGGGAGGCAGCAGUGGGGAAUAUUGCACAAUGGGCGCAAGCCUGAUGCAGCCAUGCCGCGUGGAUGAAGAAGGCCUUCGGGUUGUAAAGUACUUUCAGCGGGGAGGAAGGGAGUAAAGUUAAUACCUUUGCGUAUUGACGUUACCCGAAGAAGAAGCACCGGCUAACUUCGUG
RNAcentral lists this ribosomal RNA (490 nucleotides) under uncultured bacterium. RNAcentral describes it as "partial 16S ribosomal RNA". It matches the Rfam family "Bacterial small subunit ribosomal RNA", at positions 30 to 507 of the family's 1533-position model. The record is from RNAcentral.